RNAcentral lists this ribosomal RNA (253 nucleotides) under uncultured bacterium. Its description in RNAcentral is "partial 16S ribosomal RNA". It matches the Rfam family "Bacterial small subunit ribosomal RNA", at positions 524 to 776 of the family's 1533-position model. The record is from RNAcentral.
UACGGAGAGUGCAAACGUUGUUCGGAUUCACUGGGCGUAAAGGGCACGUAGGCGGCUCGGCAAAUCGGUCGUGGAAUCCCGACGCUUACCGUCGGAACGGCGGCCGAAAAUACCGGGCUCGAGGGCGUGAGGGGUCACUGGAACUCCUGGUGAAGCGGUGAAAUGCGUAGAUAUCAGGAGGAACACCGGUGGCGAAGGCGGAUCUCUGGGCCUUACCUGACGCUCAGGCACGAAAGCUAGGGGAGCGAACAGG